Molecule: long non-coding RNA, 369 nt
Organism: Passer domesticus (house sparrow)
Lineage: Eukaryota; Metazoa; Chordata; Aves; Passeriformes; Passeridae
Exons: 3
Source: RefSeq, a predicted model, not a curated record
CAGGAUCUAAUUGCAGCAAAGACAGCAAGACUAGUUGUACAUGCUGUUCCCACUAUGUGCAAUAAAUGUACCUGUUCAUCCGCUGGCUUAAACAAAAGCUGGUAAACAGACCCACUACUGAUGGAUGAAGAGAUUUAUCACAACAGGAUAAGAAAAAAGCCAAGAUGCCACUGGAAAAUGUGAUUUUUCUGAAGAACAAAGCUAACGUGGACCUUUUGACUGCAUUGUCACUGUUUAUAGAGCUGUGGGAUCCUGCUUGCUGCCAAAGUCUUCAUGUGUGAAUAUGCAAAGCUGGCUACUUGCAGGCUGGGCUCUGUCAGCAGUGAGGUGGCCAGAGCUGUUACUGUUGGAAGGGCAGGCUUGGUUUCA